This 361-nucleotide ribosomal RNA is filed under the name uncultured Syntrophaceae bacterium. RNAcentral describes it as "bacterial SSU rRNA". It matches the Rfam family "Bacterial small subunit ribosomal RNA", at positions 1020 to 1382 of the family's 1533-position model. Lineage: Bacteria; Pseudomonadati; Thermodesulfobacteriota; Syntrophia; Syntrophales; Syntrophaceae. The record is from RNAcentral.
CGGGGAGCUUGGAGACAGGUGCUGCAUGGCUGUCGUCAGCUCGUGUCGUGAGAUGUUGGGUUAAGUCCCGCAACGAGCGCAACCCUUGCCUUUAGUUGCCAUCAUUCAGUUGGGCACUCUAGAGGGACUGCCGGUGUCAAACCGGAGGAAGGUGGGGAUGACGUCAAGUCCUCAUGGCCUUUAUGCCCAGGGCUACACACGUGCUACAAUGGGCGGUACAAAGAGCAGCGAGCUCGCGAGAGUAAGCAAAUCUCAAAAAGCCGUCCUCAGUUCGGAUUGGAGUCUGCAACUCGACUCCAUGAAGUUGGAAUCGCUAGUAAUCGCGGAUCAGAACGCCGCGGUGAAUACGUUCUCGGGGUUU